RNAcentral lists this ribosomal RNA (326 nucleotides) under uncultured eukaryote. RNAcentral describes it as "partial 18S ribosomal RNA". It matches the Rfam family "Eukaryotic small subunit ribosomal RNA", at positions 1470 to 1796 of the family's 1831-position model. The record is from RNAcentral.
CCCUUAGAUGUUCUGGGCCGCACGCGCGCUACACUGAUGCAUUCAACAAGCCUAGCCUUGACCGAGAGGUCCGGGUAAUCUUUGAAACUGCAUCGUGAUGGGGCUAGAUUAUUGCAAUUAUUAAUCUUCAACGAGGAGUGCCUAGUAAGCGUGAUUCAUCAAAUCGCGUUGAUUACGUCCCUGCCCUUUGUACACACCGCCCGUCGCUCCUACCGAUUGAAUGUGUUGGUGAGGAGCUCGGAUUGGCAGCAGUUGGUGGUUCGCCACCGGCUAUUGCUGAGAAGUCCUCCAAACCGCCCCAUUUAGAGGAAGGAGAAGUCGUAACA